AAGAAGUAUGCCGCCUCACUGUGCUGCAUACAAUUACACACUGUGUCGUACGAUUGAGACAAGGAAACUUGGAAUGACUUUUCAUAGGUUUCCCAGAGACUAUGGGUUGAGGAGGAAUUGGAAGUUUGUCGGCUUAGACCUGGUGUCAUUCCAUCAGUGUUAAACUUCCCGGCUCAUCUUGGAAGAGUACGUGCCAGAAAGACCACGACCAAGCAGCCUUGAGAUCUUAGGCAGCGUCUCCCUCAGGUCCCUCUCUAUCUCCCCACACAUCCACCAACCACUGGAACACAUCUCCAAAGUUCUGCCAGACCAGCUCAGCUUCCCCUCAGAAGAAGUGCCGCCACCUGCCAGAUGAAGGAGCCUUUUGAGAGGCAGCUGGCAUCGUGAUUGGACUGUACUUUGGUCUGUUCCAAUCCAGCUUCAGCUCCAGAGACGGCAGGCGGGACGAGUCAACGGAGGCCGGGUGGACGAAGGCAUGCAGCUGAGUACAAUCCAGAAAACAACAGAGGAGGAGUGCAGCGUUCCAGGGCCAGAACAACCAGAGUAGCAUCGUAUGUCUCUUAGAAAACAUCAUAGUAUAGCCUUUGGUAUGAAAAAACGCCAUCAUAUACAUCGUAUAUUGUACAAAUAACAAGUCAAAGGAAAGAGACAUACAUUGUAGAACUGUAGUAAUUGUGGGCUGACUGAUUUACUGAUUAUCAGUAUUUUAUUUUUUACUGAUUUACGGUAAUAAAUAC
This is a long non-coding RNA of Amphiprion ocellaris (clown anemonefish), 737 nucleotides long. The record is from Ensembl. Lineage: Eukaryota; Metazoa; Chordata; Actinopteri; Pomacentridae.